Molecule: ribosomal RNA, 572 nt
Filed under: bacterium KU2
Lineage: Bacteria
Description: bacterial SSU rRNA
Rfam family: Bacterial small subunit ribosomal RNA
Source: RNAcentral
UGCAUGUGGGGCACCCUGAUCAGCAUGCCGCGUGUGUGAAGAAGGCCUUCGGGUUGUAAAGCACUUUUGUAAGGAAAGAAAUGGCCUGGGCUAAUACCCCGGGUCGAUGACGGAACCGGAAGAAUAAGCACCGGCUAACUACGUGCCAGCAGCCGCGGUAAUACGUAGGGUGCGAGCGUUAAUCGGAAUUACUGGGCGUAAAGCGUGCGCAGGCGGUUUGAUAAGACAGGCGUGAAAUCCCCGGGCUCAACCUGGGAAUGGCGCUUGUGACUGUCAGGCUAGAGUGCGUCAGAGGGGGGUAGAAUUCCACGUGUAGCAGUGAAAUGCGUAGAGAUGUGGAGGAAUACCGAUGGCGAAGGCAGCCCCCUGGGACGUGACUGACGCUCAUGCACGAAAGCGUGGGGAGCAAACAGGAUUAGAUUUCCUGGUAGUCCACGCCCUAAACGAUGUCAACUAGUUGGUGGGGAUUCAUUUCUUCAGUAACGUAGCUAACGCGUGAAGUUGACCGCCUGGGGAGUACGGUCGCAAGAUUAAAACUCAAAGGAAUUGACGGCGGGCGGGGGCGGGCGGGA